RNAcentral lists this ribosomal RNA (1420 nucleotides) under bacterium. RNAcentral describes it as "bacterial SSU rRNA". It matches the Rfam family "Bacterial small subunit ribosomal RNA". The record is from RNAcentral.
UGCAAGUAGAACGCUGAAGAGAGGAGCUUGCUCUUCUUGGAUGAGUUGCGAACGGGUGAGUAACGCGUAGGUAACCUGCCUUGUAGCGGGGGAUAACUAUUGGAAACGAUAGCUAAUACCGCAUAACAAUGGAUGACACAUGUCAUUUAUUUGAAAGGGGCAAUUGCUCCACUACAAGAUGGACCUGCGUUGUAUUAGCUAGUAGGUGAGGUAACGGCUCACCUAGGCGACGAUACAUAGCCGACCUGAGAGGGUGAUCGGCCACACUGGGACUGAGACACGGCCCAGACUCCUACGGGAGGCAGCAGUAGGGAAUCUUCGGCAAUGGGGGCAACCCUGACCGAGCAACGCCGCGUGAGUGAAGAAGGUUUUCGGAUCGUAAAGCUCUGUUGUAAGUCAAGAACGAGUGUGAGAGUGGAAAGUUCACACUGUGACGGUAGCUUACCAGAAAGGGACGGCUAACUACGUGCCAGCAGCCGCGGUAAUACGUAGGUCCCGAGCGUUGUCCGGAUUUAUUGGGCGUAAAGCGAGCGCAGGCGGUUUGAUAAGUCUGAAGUUAAAGGCUGUGGCUCAACCAUAGUUCGCUUUGGAAACUGUCAAACUUGAGUGCAGAAGGGGAGAGUGGAAUUCCAUGUGUAGCGGUGAAAUGCGUAGAUAUAUGGAGGAACACCGGUGGCGAAAGCGGCUCUCUGGUCUGUAACUGACGCUGAGGCUCGAAAGCGUGGGGAGCGAACAGGAUUAGAUACCCUGGUAGUCCACGCCGUAAACGAUGAGUGCUAGGUGUUGGAUCCUUUCCGGGAUUCAGUGCCGCAGCUAACGCAUUAAGCACUCCGCCUGGGGAGUACGACCGCAAGGUUGAAACUCAAAGGAAUUGACGGGGGCCCGCACAAGCGGUGGAGCAUGUGGUUUAAUUCGAAGCAACGCGAAGAACCUUACCAGGUCUUGACAUCCCGAUGCUAUUUCUAGAGAUAGAAAGUUACUUCGGUACAUCGGUGACAGGUGGUGCAUGGUUGUCGUCAGCUCGUGUCGUGAGAUGUUGGGUUAAGUCCCGCAACGAGCGCAACCCCUAUUGUUAGUUGCCAUCAUUCAGUUGGGCACUCUAGCGAGACUGCCGGUAAUAAACCGGAGGAAGGUGGGGAUGACGUCAAAUCAUCAUGCCCCUUAUGACCUGGGCUACACACGUGCUACAAUGGUUGGUACAACGAGUUGCGAGUCGGUGACGGCAAGCUAAUCUCUUAAAGCCAAUCUCAGUUCGGAUUGUAGGCUGCAACUCGCCUACAUGAAGUCGGAAUCGCUAGUAAUCGCGGAUCAGCACGCCGCGGUGAAUACGUUCCCGGGCCUUGUACACACCGCCCGUCACACCACGAGAGUUUGUAACACCCGAAGUCGGUGAGGUAACCUUUUGGAGCCAGCCGCCUAA